CCGUGGUCCAGUGUGGGUUAGCAUCCCUCUUGUUCUCGGUACUUUCUCUGAAAGCAUCCAGCUAAAUCGCAUGAACUCGUCAUGUUUCUGAUGUGAUUCAGAUCGGAUGAUAAGUAGAAAUUUCAUCCUUUUUGUGGAGAAUCAACAUUGCGAGAGAAGCCGUCCGUGCACUCGAUAAAAGCUGUCUCGACUUCGCCAUCUACUGCACUGAGAUUUCGGUGAAGUUGCCGUUGCUGAGCGCUGGAGUGUGUUGUGCCAUCCUGCAAUCUGAAGUUUGUAGUGUAUAAAUCAAAAAUUGGGGUGUGCAUAAAGUUCAAAGUGUAGAGUAUUUGCACAAUUUCGUGUGUAGUGAUUACAACGUCCAAAAUGUGAUUUUUUCUUGAAAUCGAUCCGUUCCUCUAUACUGAGCAUUUAAUUUAAAUAAAUGUGGAUAGUUGAAAUAAACGUGAUUAGGUGAAUGAAUGGUGAUUAUAUAUAGGUGAUGAACUCCUGAGCAUCUGAGAGUCAUAAAUUACAUGAGAUAAAUUAAAUUUCAAAGAGUGAUUAGUUAUUUAGUGAACGAUAUCUUGGAGUGGCGUAGUAAGCAAAUACGGUUCUUCAUUAGACAACGAAAAAUUGUGAACAAUAUGUGCUACGACUUUACAUGUGUGUGCACAGUUUGGCAAGAUAGGCGUGACACGAUUUUUUGAUAAGUCACGAAUAAAACAUCGAAUUGGUAGAGUAUACGCUUCACGUUUUUCGCAAUGCUCGUCAUGAAAUGAUGAUUGUGGAUUAUUGAAAGAUAAUAAAAAUCUUGAGCAUACUGUAUGAAAAUUAGCGGCAUACUUGUGAACUGCUGUUGAAGCUAAAAUUAAGAAAGGUGAUAUACUUUCCUCAAUUUACCGGUCGUAGUCAUUCUAAAGAACUUUUUUGGAAACUUUUUCUUCCAAUAAGUCCAUUUAGUACCGAUUGCAAUAGUUGGGAGUUUGAUGACUGUGCAAUGCACUUUUCCCACAAGAAAGAUGACAAGUUGCAAGAUGCAAGUCGCAUUCUCGACUAAACCCUAAUCGCCCUGACGUCGCCCAUUAGUCGUAACUUGGAAUACAAUCCUGACGACUGAUCGUGCUCCCGACUGGAAUCUUCCGUCAUCUGCAUUCUUCCCUGCAUUCUAGUGCAAGAAAAAAGCUUCCCCGAUAACAUCCCGCUUCAAAAUGGCGCUCCUGAGCUCGCGGAGCAGCUCUCCCCCCCACGUCCCCCUCGUACCUCUCGCCCCCCUCGUACGUCUCGUCCCCCUCGUGCUGCUGCUCGUGAUGAGCUGCGGCGCCGCUAGCGCCUCCUCACAUCUCGCCCGAGACUCUGAC
Hyalella azteca is the source of this 1340-nucleotide long non-coding RNA. RefSeq lists it as uncharacterized. Lineage: Eukaryota; Metazoa; Arthropoda; Malacostraca; Amphipoda; Hyalellidae. The record is from RefSeq and is a predicted model, not a curated record. The transcript has 3 exons.